UGGGCAACCUGCCCCUCUCUCUGGGAUAACCCCGGGAAACCGGAGCUAAUACCGGAUACUCCGGCUGGAUCGCAUGGUCCGGCCGGGAAAGGUCCGCCGGAGAGGGAUGGGCCCGCGGCCUAUCAGCUUGUUGGUGGGGUCAUGGCUCACCAAGGCGACGACGGGUAGCUGGUCUGAGAGGAUGGCCAGCCACACUGGGACUGAGACACGGCCCAGACUCCGUACGGGAGGCA
RNAcentral lists this ribosomal RNA (233 nucleotides) under uncultured bacterium. RNAcentral describes it as "partial 16S ribosomal RNA". It matches the Rfam family "Bacterial small subunit ribosomal RNA", at positions 118 to 350 of the family's 1533-position model. The record is from RNAcentral.